UUAUGAAACUCAACAGUUCAGUACACAUUUGAUCAAAAAAUUGCAUCACCAUUUACAGAAGGAAGUUGUGAACCUGACAAAAAAUAAAAACUACUAGAAUGUGCUUCAAGGGUUUAACGGUAGGAGCCUCCGACAUACUCCCAGAAGGACCAUUGGCAGGAGAUCCACCAGGAAGUGUGAAAGUACCAGGCACUGAAGAUUUUGGUGUCGUCAG
This 214-nucleotide long non-coding RNA is filed under the name Phoenix dactylifera (date palm). Its description in RNAcentral is "long non-coding RNA (PDAC_LNC021366)". Lineage: Eukaryota; Viridiplantae; Streptophyta; Magnoliopsida; Arecales; Arecaceae. The record is from RNAcentral.